CGCGUAGGUGGUCGGGUAAGUCAGAUGUGAAAGCUCUGGGCUCAACCCAGGAAUUGCAUUUGAUACUGUCUGACUUGAGUACGGUAGAGGAGAGUGGAAUUCCCAGUGUAGCGGUGAAAUGCGUAGAUAUUGGGAGGAACACCGGUGGCGAAGGCGGCUCUCUGGACCGAAACUGACACUGAAGCGCGAAAGCCAGGGGAGCAAACGGGAUUAGAUACCCCGGUAGUCCUGGCCGUAAACGAUGAGUACUAGGUGUAGGAGGUAUUGACCCCUUCUGUGCCGCAGCUAACGCAUUAAGUACUCCGCCUGGGGACUACGACCGCAAGGUUGAA
Molecule: ribosomal RNA, 332 nt
Filed under: uncultured bacterium
Lineage: Bacteria
Description: bacterial SSU rRNA
Rfam family: Bacterial small subunit ribosomal RNA
Source: RNAcentral